Molecule: ribosomal RNA, 141 nt
Filed under: Phaeosphaeria sp. LHH10-14
Lineage: Eukaryota; Fungi; Ascomycota; Dothideomycetes; Pleosporales; Phaeosphaeriaceae
Description: 5.8S ribosomal RNA
Source: RNAcentral
AUGCCUGUUCGAGCGUCAUUUGUACCCUCAAGCCUUGCUUGGUGUUGGGCGUUUUGUCUUUUUACUAAGACUCGCCUUAAAGUAAUUGGCAGCCAGUGUUUUGGUAGUAAGCGCAGCACAUUUUGCGUCUUAGUCCCUUGA